This is a long non-coding RNA of Cannabis sativa, 514 nucleotides long. RefSeq lists it as uncharacterized. The record is from RefSeq and is a predicted model, not a curated record. NCBI's taxonomy places the organism in Eukaryota, Viridiplantae, Streptophyta, Magnoliopsida, Rosales, Cannabaceae. The transcript has 3 exons.
AAGGAAAGGAAGGAAGGUUAGAAGAUUAGCUAAUUCUCUCUCUCUCUCUCUCUCUCUCUCUCUCUCUCUCUCUCUCUCUCUCUCUCUCUCUCUCUCUCUCUCUCUCUCUCUCGAUUCUCUUGGGCAGCAGCUGGGGAUUGAGUUUGUGAGAUUGAAUCAAGAGAUAUUAGUAGUAAUUGAAAGCUUUGUUCAAGGGCCCUGUAAAGCGUCGAGCUGCGUUUCCACUCAGGCUGACCGCACACUUGAGCACGGAACGAGGUAAAAGAAAAGCAAAGCUAGAGGAACAGUGAGAUAGAACUCGGCAAUGAUUGUACAUAUCGCGGCAGUGCAGCCUGGAGGGUUUCGGUCUUUUACUAUUUUGGAGUCUGUAUUUUGAGGUUGCAUACUAGCGAGUUAGUUUUGAAAAAAAUAUAUAUUAUAUGUACAUAUUAGUAAAAUACUUUUAACUUGUAUUUUGAUACUCGGGAUCCCGACCCAUAUGGUUAUUAAGCUAUAAAUUAUUAAAAUUAACUUU